AAGCCAUGAUGUGGGCAUUGAGACCAAUAGCCCUUGAACCUCUCCCAAGCUUCACUAAAGCCCUCUAGGUUCUUCUGCUGAAAGCUAGAGAUUUCAUUCCUGAUCUU
Non-coding RNA from Brassica napus (rape), 107 nucleotides. NCBI's taxonomy places the organism in Eukaryota, Viridiplantae, Streptophyta, Magnoliopsida, Brassicales, Brassicaceae. The record is from Rfam.